This 322-nucleotide ribosomal RNA is filed under the name Clostridioides difficile. Its description in RNAcentral is "bacterial LSU rRNA". It matches the Rfam family "Bacterial large subunit ribosomal RNA", at positions 1915 to 2237 of the family's 2925-position model. Lineage: Bacteria; Bacillati; Bacillota; Clostridia; Peptostreptococcales; Peptostreptococcaceae. The record is from RNAcentral.
AAGCCCCAGUAAACGGCGGCCGUAACUAUAACGGUCCUAAGGUAGCGAAAUUCCUUGUCGGGUAAGUUCCGACCCGCACGAAAGGCGUAACGAUUUGGCACUGUCUCAACAACAGACUCGGUGAAAUUGUAAUUCCGGUGAAGAUGCCGGAUACCUGCGACAGGACGGAAAGACCCCAUGGAGCUUUACUGUAGCUUGACAUUGGGUCUUGGUACUACAUGUACAGGAUAGGUGGGAGGCUUUGAAACCAGGACGCCAGUUUUGGCGGAGCCAUCCUUGGGAUACCACCCUUGUAGUACUGGGACUCUAACCAUAGGCCAUG